GAGGGGUGCAAACGUUAUUCGGAUUUAUUGGGUGUAAAGGGUGUGUAGACGGGUUAUUAAGUUCGUUGUUAAAUCUUCCGGCCUAACCGGAAGCUCGCGAUGAAAACUGAUAGUCUAGAGGAUGGAAGAGAGAAGUGGAAUUCUCGGAGUAGCGGUAAAAUGCGUAGAUCUCGAGAGGAACACCGAUGGCGAAGGCAGCUUCUUGGUCCAUUCCUGACGUUGAAACACGAAAGCGUGGGGAGCAAACAGGAUUAGAUACCCUGGGUAGUCCACGCCGUAAACGAUGAUCACUAGAUGUUGGCCCCUGUUUUGCAGGGUUAGUAUCGAAGCUAACGCGUUAAGUGAUCCACCUGGGGAACUACGAUCGCAAGAUUAA
RNAcentral lists this ribosomal RNA (376 nucleotides) under uncultured organism. RNAcentral describes it as "partial 16S ribosomal RNA". It matches the Rfam family "Bacterial small subunit ribosomal RNA", at positions 527 to 897 of the family's 1533-position model. The record is from RNAcentral.